UCGGCAAAAUGCCCCCGUAACUUCGGGAGAAGGGGGACCAUCCCGGUGAACCAGACUUUGCUCUGGGAUGUGCUGGUGGUGGUCGCAGAGGCCAGAGAGAAGCGACUGUUUAUUAAAAACACAGGUCCGUGCGAAGUCGUAAGACGAUGUAUACGGACUGACUCCUGCCCGGUGCUGGAAGGUUAAGGGGAACUGUUAGCU
Molecule: ribosomal RNA, 201 nt
Filed under: Tryblionella compressa
Lineage: Eukaryota; Bacillariophyta; Bacillariophyceae; Bacillariales; Bacillariaceae
Description: partial Bacterial large subunit ribosomal RNA
Rfam family: Bacterial large subunit ribosomal RNA
Source: RNAcentral